RNAcentral lists this ribosomal RNA (295 nucleotides) under uncultured bacterium. RNAcentral describes it as "partial 16S ribosomal RNA". It matches the Rfam family "Bacterial small subunit ribosomal RNA", at positions 333 to 642 of the family's 1533-position model. The record is from RNAcentral.
GUGUACCUACGGGGGGCAGCAGUGGGGAAUAUUGCACAAUGGGGGAAACCCUGACCCAGCAACGCCGCGUGAAGGAAGAAGGCUUUCGGGUUGUAAACUUCUUUUCUGAGGGACGAAGAAAGUGACGGUACCUCAGGAAUAAGCCACGGCUAACUACGUGCCAGCAGCCGCGGUAAUACGUAGGUGGCAAGCGUUAUCCGGAUUUAUUGGGUGUAAAGGGCGUGUAGGCGGGAAAGCAAGUCAGAUGUGAAAACUCAGGGCUCAACCCUGAGCCUGCAUUUGAAACUGUGUUUCU